UCUGGCUCAGGAUGAACGCUAGCUACAGGCUUAACACAUGCAAGUCGAGGGGAAACGAUAUUGGAAGCUUGCUUCCGAUAGGCGUCGACCGGCGCACGGGUGAGUAACGCGUAUCCAACCUGCCCAUCACUUGGGGAUAACCUUGCGAAAGUAAGACUAAUACCCAAUGACGUCCAUAGAAGUCAUCUGAAGUGGAUUAAAGAUUUAUCGGUGACGGAUGGGGAUGCGUCUGAUUAGCUUGUUGGCGGGGUAACGGCCCACCAAGGCGACGAUCAGUAGGGGUUCUGAGAGGAAGGUCCCCCACAUUGGAACUGAGACACGGUCCAAACUCCUACGGGAGGCAGCAGUGAGGAAUAUUGGUCAAUGGACGAGAGUCUGAACCAGCCAAGUAGCGUGCAGGAAGACGGCCCUAUGGGUUGUAAACUGCUUUUAUAAGGGAAUAAAGUGAGUCUCGUGAGACUUUUUGCAUGUACCUUAUGAAUAAGGACCGGCUAAUUCCGUGCCAGCAGCCGCGGUAAUACGGAAGGUCCGGGCGUUAUCCGGAUUUAUUGGGUUUAAAGGGAGCGUAGGCCGGAGAUUAAGCGUGUUGUGAAAUGUAGACGCUCAACGUCUGCACUGCAGCGCGAACUGGUUUCCUUGAGUACGCACAAAGUGGGCGGAAUUCGUGGUGUAGCGGUGAAAUGCUUAGAUAUCACGAAGAACUCCGAUUGCGA
Molecule: ribosomal RNA, 713 nt
Filed under: uncultured Bacteroidota bacterium
Lineage: Bacteria; Pseudomonadati; Bacteroidota
Description: bacterial SSU rRNA
Rfam family: Bacterial small subunit ribosomal RNA
Source: RNAcentral